ACUUACAUCUUCGCCCCACAGCAAGGGGAUAGAGUAAAACUAUUCCAUCUCCCCCUCUCGAGGUCGCCGCCUCCUCCGCCUCCGCUAACGAAGUCAAGUACCGCUAAGACUCGAGUAGGUGGCGUCCUAAAACUAAAGAAGAGGGAGAAGAGAAGCAAGCGGCCGACGGGACCAUCAUAGAGUUACCCAUCUCACGCCUUUCAGACAGCGUUCCUACAAGGGGAUCAAAGAAGUCAGCUCUCAUGACUAAGAAACUUUCUGGGAAUACACGGAUUACUAAAACGACUACUACCAAGAUUACGAUACAGAAACCCAACAAGACCACUACUACUUCUCAAACUAUUUCGUGAAAUGUUAAAGAUACACUUAUUAUUUCAGUUCAUGGAUUCCUCUUUUAAUAGUAGACGACCGUCUUCCUUACAACUUGAAAAGUUACAGUAGAAGUAGUUCUUUACUUAGUAGAAGAGGUUCCUUCCGUAACGAAAGUCCCGGUGGAGGGUUCCUAAUCGAAGGCGACGAUGGAGAACCAAACGAGCUAGCAGAAGUACGUAAAGAACGGUACAGACAACUCAGGAGGACGACUCACAUGGACGUUCGUUGUUCUAUCAAAAACAAAACAGGAGAACGACAAAGUUUAAGUCUCACUGGUUUUCGUCUCACGUUGUCUCCUAAACUUCUAAAAAGUACAUGGACACCUACUAGAAAAACACUGGGGGUUCACGAACGAACACAAGAAGGAGGUCCACGAAAACUGUCCAGUCCCUUUCCUGUUAUCUUCGCUGGCCAAGUUGGAAAAGAGCGACAAUCAGCGAACUGCCCAGUGUACUUGUCGGGCUGGGUAAAAGAAGUCCUUUUUGUCUGUAUGUUGACAGUUGUCAAAUAAAACAUAUGCUACUUGAAAAAAUUAAUAUGUGUUACUUCUAUAGUAAUUCAUGUGAUUUCAUAAAAUUUUG
This 953-nucleotide ribosomal RNA is filed under the name Triticum aestivum (bread wheat). Its description in RNAcentral is "partial small subunit ribosomal RNA". Lineage: Eukaryota; Viridiplantae; Streptophyta; Magnoliopsida; Poales; Poaceae. The record is from RNAcentral.